CCCGAGAACUGGGCCCUCUUUUUGGCCGUCUACCGGAUGCCCGGAGAGUCUGAACGAUUCAUUUGUAGAUAAAAACAGAGGGACAAGAAGUUUGAAGACCGAAAAGCGGGGCAGCAACUCUCUUAGUGUUUUUGCCCCUCUCCUGACUUUCUGACGGCCGAAACCGACAGGAAGAGGGGGAGAGAGAAAGCUGGAAGAAAAUUCCGGCUUCAAUCUGCCAGCGUCUCUGCUUCCUUCUUGGGGAGCUGCCACUUCCCCUUGUCUCCAGUGGCCGAAGACUCCUUAUAACUCCAAGGACAACGUGCUUGCACCACCUUUAUUGUUCUCACGUUUGUUGAGCACUUUGUUCAGCGUGGAGCUACAGAGUUGCCAUGAGACAUGAACUAUCUAGACCCUGACAAACCAAGGAAGACAUCAAUAAAGCUAUGCUGAUUCCACCCUGAAACAAACAAGAAUCCUUCAAGACCUUAAGAUAACAUCAAGGAGGAGAAUAGAAGACAGAUGAAACCUCUGUGAGAUUUUGCACCUGGAUCCUUAUACAUCACCCUCCCUCCUGCUUUUUAUUUCCCACAUUCCAUUUCCUCAAUCCCCUCUUUAAAACCCCCUCAGUAAGUCUGAGUCUUUGAGAUGGUUUUAGUUUGGCCAUCUCCUUCACGAUUACCAGGGAAAUGGGUUAGCCUAACAUCUCCUUCAGGUUAGCAGUUUACCUGUCCUGAAUAAAGCUGACUACCUUUCACCAACA
This is a long non-coding RNA of Galeopterus variegatus (Sunda flying lemur), 742 nucleotides long. RefSeq lists it as uncharacterized. Lineage: Eukaryota; Metazoa; Chordata; Mammalia; Dermoptera; Cynocephalidae. The transcript has 2 exons. The record is from RefSeq and is a predicted model, not a curated record.